This is an RNA transcript of Quercus robur (English oak), 2114 nucleotides long. It is a transcript of the gene named dihydrolipoyllysine-residue acetyltransferase component 2 of pyruvate dehydrogenase complex, mitochondrial, with no coding region annotated. The record is from RefSeq and is a predicted model, not a curated record. The transcript is spliced from 19 exons. Lineage: Eukaryota; Viridiplantae; Streptophyta; Magnoliopsida; Fagales; Fagaceae.
AAAUAAAAUAAAAGCCAGAACGAUCUAUAUGACUAUGGCGAUCUGAGACCAAAAACCCUCAAAGGUCAAAACUUUUCACCGAACCAAACAACACGGUCCCCUCUGUUUCUCAACUUGUCUUUCUCUCUUAGCUACAAAUCCUCUUUUUGUAGCAACUUUUAUUUUGGUGUUUUUUUUUUCCCUUUGAAUAAUUUUAUCAGAGUUUCAGAAAAUGGCUUACGCAUCUCAUAUUAUCAAUCACUCCAAAAAGUUAAGAAAUGUGCCCAAUUUUCUACGACAUGAGCAUUCCAUUUUGGUUCGUUGGUUUUCAAAUGGCACUCAACCCUCUAUUGGUAAAAGAGAUGAUAUUCGGAAGAUCCAUCGUCAUCAUUGUAAUGUGUCUUCAGAAAGAGAGACAGUAACCAGGUCUGCCACCAAUGGUGCGAUGUCAAAGUUUGGCGUACAGAAGAGAAAUCCAAUUGCGGGACUGGCAUUUAACCAAGGCCUUUCAAGCUCACAGGUAUACAUGAGGAGAGGUUUUUCAUCUAAUUCAGGCCUUCCUCCACACCAAGAGAUUGGAAUGCCCUCUCUGUCACCUACAAUGAUGGAGGGUAAUAUUGCAAGGUGGUUGAAGAAAGAGGGUGAUAAAGUUGCUCCUGGUGAAGUGCUUUGUGAAGUUGAAACGGAUAAAGCAACAGUUGAGAUGGAAAGCAUGGAAGAAGGCUAUCUUGCCAAGAUUAUACAUGGAGAUGGGUCAAAGGAAAUUAAAGUUGGUGAGGUGAUUGCUGUGACUGUUGAAGAAGAGGGUGAUAUUGCAAAAUUUAAAGAUUACAAGCCUUCAGCAUUGGAUGCCGAUACUGCUUCUGGGUCAUCUGCUCCUGCUACACCAGAAAAAGAGGUCGUUGAAGAACCUGUCAGUUCGCCAGAACCAAAGACUUCCAAGCCUACUGCAGCAACUCCUGCUGAAGAUCGUGUUUUCUCCAGCCCUCUUGCCAGAAAAUUGGCCGAAGAGCAUAAAGUGCCUCUCUCAAGUAUCAAAGGAACAGGUCCUAAUGGAACCAUUGUGAAGGCAGAUAUUGAAGAGUACUUGGCCUCUCGUGGAAAGGAAGUAUCAGCUGCAGCUCCUUCAGCUAAGGCUGGUACACCUGCAGCAUUAGAUUACACUGACAUACCUCAUUCUCAGAUAAGGAAGAUCACGGCUUCACGCUUAUUAUUCUCCAAGCAAAAUAUUCCCCAUUAUUAUCUAACAGUAGAUACAUGUGUUGACAAACUCAUGGAUUUGCGGAGCCAACUCAAUUCAUUACAAGAAGCAUCUGGUGGAAAACGGAUAUCAAUUAAUGAUCUUGUAAUUAAGGCUGCUGCUUUGGCUCUUAGUAAAGUUCCUCAGUGCAAUAGUUCAUGGACAGAUGAUUACAUCCGCCAGUAUCGCAACAUAAAUAUAAAUGUUGCAGUACAGACAGAUAAUGGACUCUUUGUCCCAGUUAUAAAGGACGCUGACAAGAAAGGUCUAUCCAGGAUAGGUGAAGAGGUCAAGCAAUUGGCCCAAAAAGCCAAAGAAAACAGCUUAAAACCAGAAGAUUAUGAGGGAGGUACAUUUACAGUGUCAAAUUUGGGAGGCCCCUUUGGUAUCAAACAAUUUUGUGCCAUCAUUAACCCUCCUCAGGCAGGCAUUCUUGCAGUUGGGUCUGGUUAAAACGGGUCGUACCUGGUUCAGGCCCUGACCAAUUCGAGUUUGCUUCCUUCAUGUCUGUAACGUUAAGCUGUGAUCAUCGUGUUAUUGAUGGUGCAAUUGGUGCCGAAUGGCUGAAGGCAUUCAAAGGGUACAUUGAGAAUCCCGAGUCAAUGUUGCUCUAAAUUCAUGGCUUGCUUAUUUCUCAUCAUGUAUUUUUCUGCCUUGCUGUAAUCAACCAACAAGAGGCAUGUGAACGCAAUUCAGCUGUUCCAAUUCGCUUGUGAUGAUUGUAUCACUGAGCAGGUUCCCUUUUGUAGCAUUUACGAACCGAAAAAGUUUGCAUAAAAUUCUUUUCUGGGAAUAAAAAGGGGGGUGGAUCAGGCAUGAGUUAUGCACUGAAUUUUGGUCAUGUACUAUAUAAUUUCCCUACGUGAGCUGAUAUAAAGAGAUGACUUUUUUGCGA